Molecule: ribosomal RNA, 506 nt
Filed under: uncultured bacterium
Lineage: Bacteria
Description: partial 16S ribosomal RNA
Rfam family: Bacterial small subunit ribosomal RNA
Source: RNAcentral
GAUGAACGCUAGCGGCAGGCCUAACACAUGCAAGUCGAGGGGCAGCACAUAAAGUGGUUUACUACUUUUGGUGGCGACCGGCGGACGGGUGCGUAACGCGUAUGCAACCUGCCUCCAACAGGGGGAUAACGGAGAGAAAUUUCCACUAAUACCCCAUAAUAUCAGAAUCGGCAUCGGUUUUGGUUGAAACCUCCGGUGGUUGGAGAUGGGCAUGCGUUGUAUUAGAUAGUUGGUGAGGUAACGGCUCACCAAGUCAACGAUACAUAGGGGGACUGAGAGGUUAGCCCCCCACACUGGUACUGAGACACGGACCAGGCUCCUACGGGAGGCAGCAGUGAGGAAUAUUGGUCAAUGGGGGCAACCCCGAACCAGCCAUGCCGCGUGCAGGAAGACGGCUCUAUGAGUUGUAAACUGCUUUUACAAGGGGAUAAAUCGGUGUACGUGUACACCGUUGAAGGUACCUUGGGAAUAAGGAUCGGCUAUCUCCGUGCCAGCAGCCGCAGUAA